Molecule: long non-coding RNA, 616 nt
Filed under: Mus pahari (shrew mouse)
Lineage: Eukaryota; Metazoa; Chordata; Mammalia; Rodentia; Muridae
Description: predicted gene 16043 (MGP_PahariEiJ_G0002889.1)
Source: RNAcentral
GUGCUGCUGGCCAUACGAAAGCAGGGCACACACAGAUGCACAACAUAAGACUUGGUGCCAAAUACCUGCCACCUGUUUGGAUGUUUACAACACUGUAUUUUUUUUAUCAUUAUUUUAGAGUGUAUAAAAGUUAACUGUAAAUCAGUCACAGACAAGUCCUUCAGGAGGGAUUCUAGAAAAAGAUUUUGCAAUCCUUGAAGACCUUCUAAAGGGGUAGGAUAUACUGUUUAGGUUUAUAAAGUACAGAAGCCAUAAAGAGCUAAAGCUCAUUUAUUAUGGGAGAAGAUAUUUUAAAAUAAAUUUAGUGUGCCCUAAGUGUGCACUGCUUUUCAAGUGUGCAGCAGUACAGUUAGGCCUCCCUCGCCUUCACGUCCAUGUCUUGCUACUCAUUGGCACAUCUACAACUUCCUGGCCUGCACCGGUGUGAGUAAGAGGAAGAGGAGGAUGAGGAGGAAGAAGAAGAAGAAGAAGAACAAGAACCACUUGCCUUUCUUUUCUCAGCACUCCAGCUGAAACAACAACAUCAACAUCAACAACAUCCAGCUGAGUGUGCAGAAGAGAUGGGGAAGUUAAGCCGACUGCUGCUCCAUUCGGUCAACUGUUUCAUGCACUGGAA